Vicugna pacos (alpaca) is the source of this 1000-nucleotide non-coding RNA. The record is from RefSeq and is a predicted model, not a curated record. Lineage: Eukaryota; Metazoa; Chordata; Mammalia; Artiodactyla; Camelidae.
CAGGCUCACUCCCCGAGCCUUCCAGUGAGCUGUUUUCGCCUUCCUACAGGUGAUACUGCCCUGGUUGCUGCAUGUGCCCUUCCCCCAGCCUUGGUUUUGGAGCUAAGUCACCAUCAGUGGAGCCCGCUCUUUAAGUGAUGAAGAGAACAGUUGCUUCUUCUCCCUGGUUGGGGACUUGGAUGAGAUGAGAUGCCCUCACCUCCAGUGGCAUCCAUCCAGACACCAGCACUGACACUGGCCGUGCUCAGUACUGCCUCAGCCCUGAAAACACAAGUGACAAAUAGAAGGGGGCCAUACACUGUUACAGCAGGUGCUCUCAUUUUGUGGGUCCUUAUGUAACUGCUUGGUGUUAUUCAGGAUCACCCGUUCUACAUUGUUUUACGCUGCUGCGGUGUGUCCUAGUUAUUUGUUUCUGAUCUGAGAAACAGGAGCAAGGAACUCAGGGAGAGAUCCAGGAAGACAUCUGACUGUGUUAAGAGACGACAGUCACAGCGACACGGGGAGAGAAGACACUUGCAGCAAAGUAAAAUGACUUCACAACUAUUGCAUCAGAGCUGCAGGUGUGAGAGAGCCUAAGCCUGUCUCAGAGUGUAGGGGACAAGCGGAAAGGAAUGUGUAAGAAUGCCUGUGACUCAGUUAGAAGCAUGCUUAAAAGCUGUCCGUGUCCUUGCCAUCCAGAAGCGGAGCCUAGAAGCUCCCGAAUUUCUCCAGAAUGCGGUUUACAUUCACCUUCGACAGGGGGGUCCAGAUUCCAGAUUCAUUCUCUUGCCUACAGAUACCCAGGUGUCCCUGCACCCUUUGUUGAAUACACUAUUCUUUCAAUGCAGUGUUGUUGGCACCCUUGUGGAAAACUGACUGUAAAUAAAAGUAGACUGACGAUUAGGUCUUCUCUCUUUUGGGGGGAGCUGAUUAUCAAUGACUGGAAGUUGUAAGUAAAGAUAUUUAUUCAUCCUGAGGAAACAUUUUUCAGAGAGUUAGCAUUGAAGAGGGUGACCACUGA